RNAcentral lists this ribosomal RNA (253 nucleotides) under uncultured bacterium. Its description in RNAcentral is "partial 16S ribosomal RNA". It matches the Rfam family "Bacterial small subunit ribosomal RNA", at positions 524 to 776 of the family's 1533-position model. The record is from RNAcentral.
GACGUAGGGCGCGAGCGUUGUCCGGAUUUAUUGGGCGUAAAGAGCUCGUAGGCGGUCUGUCGCGUCGGCUGUGAAAACUCGGGGCUCAACUCCGAGCUUGCAGUCGAUACGGGCAGGCUAGAGUUCGGCAGGGGAGACUGGAACUCCUGGUGUAGCGGUGAAAUGCGCAGAUAUCAGGAGGAACACCGGUGGCGAAGGCGGGUCUCUGGGCCGAUACUGACGCUGAGGAGCGAAAGCGUGGGGAGCGAACAGG